CUGGGUUAGGUGAGAAGAUGGAGGCAGGUGGUGGGGAAGACUCAGACAGCGAAGCUGGUAUUAGCUCUCCUGGAGGGACUGCUGAGAGGGGAUGACUCUGUCUAGGAGGUCCACAAUCAGAAGUCCUUUGUUCAAUGAGGACAUAGAAAAGGAAGCCCAACAGUCACACCUGUGCUGCCUCAGGUUGACAACCCCUAUGCCCCUGCACUCCUGUUCACUUCCAUCCUAGGUAUGCUGUUAAUAAAGGGAGAAGACAUCAGAUACAAACAAUAUUGGCACUUAAUAACAACUCAGGUAUAAAGUCUGAUCAAGUAGCUGAAAUCCACAGUUCAUUCUGAAAGCAAGAUUUGAUGUAUGGUUUCUUAUUUAUGGGUUUUCCUCUCUUGUUAACAUAUAUAAUUAAAUGCAUGAUAAGUAGUUAAAUAUUAGAAAUCAAGUCUCAAAAACUACUUUAAGAAGGAAGGAUGAGGUAGCAAAUUACUCUCCAUCCAGGGAAUGAUGACAGAGUAUGAAAGAGUAUAAGGCCAUCUAAUUUUGUCAUCUCUUGCAUCUACUUUUUAGGGCCUUUGAGCCUCUAUCUGUUUCCUAACAUGUCCUCCCAGGACUGUCACACUCCCAUG
Long non-coding RNA from Mustela lutreola (European mink), 620 nucleotides. RefSeq lists it as uncharacterized. The transcript has 3 exons. Lineage: Eukaryota; Metazoa; Chordata; Mammalia; Carnivora; Mustelidae. The record is from RefSeq and is a predicted model, not a curated record.